UAUUGAGGAGGAGGUGCGGAACCCACCUGCCCAUAUGGGCGCCAUGGUUGGUGGGGGAGCCAGUGGCGCAACCAGCCGACUUACGU
Molecule: non-coding RNA, 86 nt
Filed under: unclassified sequences
Description: c-di-GMP sequence
Rfam family: Cyclic di-GMP-II riboswitch aptamer
Source: RNAcentral